GCAGGGGAUCGCAAGACCUUGCGCUGAUUGAGCGGCCGGUAUCAGAUUAGCUUGUUGGUGAGGUAAAAGCUCACCAAGGCGACGAUCUGUAGCGGGUCUGAGAGGAUGAUCCGCCACACUGGAACUGAGACACGGUCCAGACUCCUACGGGAGGCAGCAGUGGGGAAUUUUGGACAAUGGGGGCAACCCUGAUCCAGCCAUGCCGCGUGAGUGAAGAAGGCCUUCGGGUUGUAAAGCUCUUUCAGCCGGGAAGAAAACGCAUGGGUUAAUACCCUGUGUGGAUGACGGUACCGGAAUAAGAAGCACCGGCUAACUACGUGCCAGCAGCCGCGGUAAUACGUAGGGUGCGAGCGUUAAUCGGAAUUACUGGGCGUAAAGCGUGCGCAGGCGGUUUUGUAAGACAGGCGUGAAAUCCCCGGGCUUAACCUGGGAACUGCGUUUGUGACUGCAAGGCUAGAGUACGGCAGAGGGGGGUGGAAUUCCACGUGUAGCAGUGAAAUGCGUAGAGAUGUGGAGGAACACCAAUGGCGAAGGCAGCCCCCUGGGUCGAUACUGACGCUCAUGCACGAAAGCGUGGGUAGCAAACAGGAUUAGAUACCCUGGUAGUCCACGCCCUAAACGAUGUCAACUAGGUGUUGGGAGGGUAAAACCUUUUAGUACCGGAGCUAACGCGUGAAGUUGACCGCCUGGGGAGUACGGCCGCAAGGUUAAAACUCAAAGGAAUUGACGGGGACCCGCACAAGCGGUGGAUGAUGUGGAUUAAUUCGAUGCAACGCGAAAAACCUUACCUACCCUUGACAUGCCAAGAACUUUCCAGAGAUGGAUUGGUGCCCGAAAGGGAACUUGGACACAGGUGCUGCAUGGCUGUCGUCAGCUCGUGUCGUGAGAUGUUGGGUUAAGUCCCGCAACGAGCGCAACCCUUGUCGUUAAUUGCCAUCAUUUAGUUGGGCACUUUAACGAGACUGCCGGUGACAAACCGGAGGAAGGUGGGGAUGACGUCAAGUCCUCAUGGCCCUUAUGGGUAGGGCUUCACACGUCAUACAAUGGUCGGUACAAAGGGUCGCCAAGCCGCGAGGUGGAGCCAAUCCCAGAAAGCCGAUCGUAGUCCGGAUCGCAGUCUGCAACUCGACUGCGUGAAGUCGGAAUCGCUAGUAAUCGUGGAUCAGAAUGUCACGGUGAAUACGUUCUCGGGUCUUGUACACACCGCCCGUCACACCAUGGGAGCGGGUUCCGCCAGAAGUAGGUAGCCUAACCGCAAGGAGGGCGCUUACCACGGCGGGGUUCGUGAC
RNAcentral lists this ribosomal RNA (1289 nucleotides) under metagenome. Its description in RNAcentral is "bacterial SSU rRNA". It matches the Rfam family "Bacterial small subunit ribosomal RNA", at positions 196 to 1475 of the family's 1533-position model. The record is from RNAcentral.